GCUCCUUUCCUAAACAAAUGUGGUGGAGAAGAAGAAGAAGAAGAAGAAGCAACAAA
RNAcentral lists this small RNA (56 nucleotides) under Arabidopsis thaliana (thale cress). RNAcentral's name for it is "ATSL218000". The record is from RNAcentral. Lineage: Eukaryota; Viridiplantae; Streptophyta; Magnoliopsida; Brassicales; Brassicaceae.